ACAUGGCAAGCACCAACACUGGCAGCUGCUAAAAUCAAAGCCCUUUGCUCAGAGCUCUAGAUGGCACUGCCCAGAAAAGAAUGCAGCUUCAGCUGGAAGUUUCUCACAAAGCCUUGGGAGAUGAAAGGCUGCCUGCCAGGCUUGGCAGGGCUGACAGACAAGAGGAGCUAAUGAGGAAGCCAGGAUAUCAAAGGGAUGUUGGACUUCGUGAUGAAAGUCAAGCUCAGGACCAUUCCCCUCAUCCACCGUCCCCACUACCUCCUCUGCUCUGAGAGACGCUAUAAUGCAUCGCCCAGGGACACAGCUUCCGAAUCCAACUGCCUGGUUUUUAAUCCCCUAGGCUCACUCAUUAGCUGUGUGAACUCGGACACAUAUCCUAACCUUUUUAUUUCCUGAUUUUUUCAUCUUCAGGAUAGGAGUAGCAAUUGUACAUACCUCAUGCACACGCGUCAGAAUGCCAGGAGGGAGAAGUUCACUCAAAUUUGGAUAAUCCCAGGAGGUUUUAGUAAAAGAACUAGUUACAAAGGAGUAUGGAGGAUGUAGCAAAACCACAAGAGAGGGGGCAGUGCCCCAAGGCCAACAACAGUGGAUGUCAUUAUCAUGCCCAGGCCUGAAAGGACACCGGGACAAGCGUGGCUAUCUACACCCAAAGAAAGCCAGAGCUCUGUGAAGACAGGUGCCUGGUGUGAGUCAUGACCUUCAGUGCAAAGAUGCAGCCAGCUCAUAGCAACCUGACAGCAAAGGAGAUGCACAAAUAAAUGCACUGACCUCA
Long non-coding RNA from Neofelis nebulosa (Clouded leopard), 772 nucleotides. RefSeq lists it as uncharacterized. The record is from RefSeq and is a predicted model, not a curated record. The transcript has 3 exons. NCBI's taxonomy places the organism in Eukaryota, Metazoa, Chordata, Mammalia, Carnivora, Felidae.